GGCAAUGUGGCUCAGUGGUAGAGCACUACUUGCCUAUACUGUGUGAAACCCUGGGUUCCAUCCCCAGCAUUGUUA
This 75-nucleotide transfer RNA is filed under the name Ictidomys tridecemlineatus (thirteen-lined ground squirrel). RNAcentral's name for it is "Spermophilus tridecemlineatus (thirteen-lined ground squirrel) tRNA". It matches the Rfam family "tRNA". Rfam says of the family: Transfer RNA (tRNA) molecules are approximately 80 nucleotides in length. Their secondary structure includes four short double-helical elements and three loops (D, anti-codon, and T loops). Further hydrogen bonds mediate the characteristic L-shaped molecular structure. tRNAs have two regions of fundamental functional importance: the anti-codon, which is responsible for specific mRNA codon recognition, and the 3' end, to which the tRNAs corresponding amino acid is attached (by aminoacyl-tRNA synthetases). tRNAs cope with the degeneracy of the genetic code in two manners: having more than one tRNA (with a specific anti-codon) for a particular amino acid; and 'wobble' base-pairing, i.e. permitting non-standard base-pairing at the 3rd anti-codon position. Lineage: Eukaryota; Metazoa; Chordata; Mammalia; Rodentia; Sciuridae. The record is from Rfam by way of RNAcentral.